This 406-nucleotide ribosomal RNA is filed under the name uncultured bacterium. RNAcentral's name for it is "partial 16S ribosomal RNA". It matches the Rfam family "Bacterial small subunit ribosomal RNA", at positions 30 to 526 of the family's 1533-position model. The record is from RNAcentral.
AUUGAACGCUGGCGGCAGGCCUAACACAUGCAAGUCGAACGAGUGGCGGACGGGUGAGUAAUGUCUGGGAAACUGCCCGAUGGAGGGGGAUAAAUAAUGGAAACGGUAGCUAAUACCGCAUACCAUCGGAUGUGCCCAGAUGGGAUUAGCUAGUAGGUGGGGUAACGGCUCACCUAGGCGACGAUCCCUAGCUGGUUGGAGAGGAUGACCAGCCACACUGGAACUGAGCCACGGUCCAGACUCCGAAGUGAGGCAGCGGUGGGGAAUAUUGCACAAAGGGCGCAAGCCUGAUGCAGCCAUGCCGCGUGUAUGAAGAAGGCCUUCGGGUUGUAAAGUACUUUCAGCGGGGAGGCGUUACCCGCAGAAGAAGCACCGGCUAACUCCGUGCCAGCAGCCGCGGUAAUUC